This 510-nucleotide ribosomal RNA is filed under the name uncultured bacterium. Its description in RNAcentral is "bacterial SSU rRNA". It matches the Rfam family "Bacterial small subunit ribosomal RNA", at positions 25 to 518 of the family's 1533-position model. The record is from RNAcentral.
CAGGACGAACGCUGGCGGCAUGCCUAACACAUGCAAGUCGAACGCGAACGGGGCUUCGGCCCCAAGUAGAGUGGCGCACGGGUGAGUAACGCGUGGACAAUCUGCCCUUAUGACUGGAAUAACAGUUGGAAACGGCUGCUAAUACCGGAUACGCUCAGGAAGAACUUUUUUGAGGAAAGGCGGCCUCUGCUUGCAAGCUGUCGCAUAAGGAUGAGUCCGCGUCCCAUUAGCUAGUUGGCGGGUAACGGCCCACCAAGGCAACGAUGGGUAGCCGAUUUGAGAGGAUGAUCGGCCACACUGGGACUGAAACACGGCCCAGACUCCUACGGGAGGCAGCAGUGGGGAAUAUUGCGCAAUGGGCGAAAGCCUGGCGCAGCGACGCCGCGUGAGGGAUGAAGGUUUUCGGAUCGUAAACCUCUGUCAGAAGGGAAGAAACUGCCGUGCUCUAAUCAUCAUGGCAUUGACGGUACCUUCAAAGGAAGCACCGGCUAACUCCGUGCCAGCCGCUGC